This is a long non-coding RNA of Amphibalanus amphitrite, 1429 nucleotides long. RefSeq lists it as uncharacterized. The record is from RefSeq and is a predicted model, not a curated record. The transcript has 3 exons. NCBI's taxonomy places the organism in Eukaryota, Metazoa, Arthropoda, Thecostraca, Balanomorpha, Balanidae.
GUUGAGACAAAUGCUAUUUGAAUAACAAAUACCUAUGGUAUUGGAAAAAUUGUCAUGAAUCUGAUAGUGUUUCCAUUCCAGCACCAAUUUCCCAGUCUUCAAAGUGUGGCAGGGAGCUCAAUCCGUGACAAGAUGUUUGGGACAGUCAAAACAUUGCCCCAAGCGGAAUGCCGAGACCUGGGCAACCCAAUUCCUUUCAUGAGGGCCCCUCAUGAAUAUGAUGAAAAUGAUAUAAUGAUGAAGUGCAUCAUUUAAUAAGUGAAGAUGCCUGGUGAGCGAGGGAGAGGACAAGGACGGGUGAGGAGAGGAGGUGGUCGAGGGGCAAGAAGAAUUCUCAACUUUUCACCCACCGCCCAGCCCGAGCCCCAAAGGUGUACCAGUGGAAGCUCCUGCACCACGUCUUUAAGGACCACCUUGUGAUGCUGAACCCGGUGCACCUUUCCCUACAAGUGCACCGUCUGUACGGCCACAUUCGCAUAUGUAUACAAACAGUUCGAGAAUGACGUCUACAGCUCUCACUCUGUCGUCGCCAAGAAGAUUAUGGAGUCGUUUGGCCGUAGGAAGGCAGCUGCGGCGGCGGCCGCCACCGGACAGCCCAUCAAAAUCAACAACGAGAUCACAAUUCACAAUCAUCCCUCACACGGGCUCGGGCGGUGCGGCAAAGGGCUCGUCUCAGGCCAGCUCGACGCCGGUGAAGCGGCGGCGACCGGAGUCGGCGCCGGCUCCCGUGGAGCGUGAGUGCGAGCUGUGCGAGCAUCGCGCGCUGCCGUGGUGCAGCCGCGGCCGCUGACGGAGCACUACCUCGCCUGCACCAGGGCCGGCCAGAGCUCGAGUUCACGCCGCUGAUGCGCGACCCCAAGUGCGCCACCUUCGUCACAGAGGAGAUCUGCGAGCAGCUGCGCCGGCGCGCCGCCGCCGAGGACUCCGACAGUGGGGUCGAGGUGGAGGUGAGUGACGCGAAGGACGGCGCGGCCGGCGGCGCCCCGUCCGCCUCCGGUGGCAGCGCGCUCAGCAAGCUCAACGAGGAGACUCACGCCUAUUGCCGCGGCGCGGCCCCGCCGGCUGGUGACCGUCCGGAAACCCAAGCCGUUCAUGGGUGACUGAGUGAAACGAAUGGACGUGCAUGUGCGUUUUUGUUCUGUGUAUGCGUGCGUUUGGAAAUGGCGUCUCUAUGUGCGUGCUUGUUUUGUAGAAGCGCUAGCGGUGCCGACGGACCCAGCGAUGGCGCGGAGGGCUUUGAUGUACCGUGUGUCUUUGAUGUUGAUGCAUUCUCGUGUUUUGUUGGUCGCGCGCCCAGCAGCACCGUGUACAUAGCCGGGAGCGUUUCUGCUCGACGCCACGUUCUGUUCGUUGUAUCUCAGUGCCAGCUUUUUGCUCCAAGUCCCGCUCGUGGAACACGCGACUCGCUCGAUUCAAAUAAUAAAUAUAC